RNAcentral lists this unclassified non-coding RNA (154 nucleotides) under uncultured Xylariaceae. RNAcentral's name for it is "sequence contains ITS2". Lineage: Eukaryota; Fungi; Ascomycota; Sordariomycetes; Xylariales; Xylariaceae. The record is from RNAcentral.
CAACCCUUAAGCCCUGUUGCUUAGCGUCGAGAGCCUGCGUUACAGCAGCUCUCUAGAUUCAGUGGCGGAGUCAGUUCAACUCUAAGCGUAGUAAUUCUCUCUCGCUUCUGUAGUGGUCCUGUCCCCUGCCGUAAAACCCCCUAUUUUACAAUGG